Molecule: long non-coding RNA, 660 nt
Organism: Patella vulgata (common limpet)
Lineage: Eukaryota; Metazoa; Mollusca; Gastropoda; Patellidae
Exons: 3
Source: RefSeq, a predicted model, not a curated record
UUGAGAGAUGUUGUAAAAUAAAUUACAUCUUUUUACAGAUACCACCAUAGAUAAUACCGUAUGAUUGCCGACUCAUGAAUUCUCGACGUUAUGUUGCGAAACGCGUGAAACGGCGAGAAAGGUGGUUGAUCACUUCCGGUCUUCUGUUCUCGCUGUUUGUUUACUAUAGGCCCAGUAGCGAUAUUUUUAUUUAGCGCUUUCUUGUAGUAUUAAAUGUGGCAUCAUCUGGUUAAAUGGUAACGAGAAAUAGAAGCAAUGUUCGAGCAGAAUGUACUGGUAGUGGUACCCGUCUUUUGUUUGCUGCCUAGGGGAGUGCCAGCUUGUGAAGCAAAUAUAUUUCAUGUUGAUUUAUUGUGAUACUGAUAAAUAAUUAAAAUAAACCAUUCAAGCUAUGUGUAAUGUGUUUGUAUGGUUAUGUUGAUGGUUAAAUAGGUUGAGAAUUGAAGCCAAAUGACCAAUUUUCGCGAAAAAGGGAUCUGCCAGUUGGUGUUAAAGAAUUCAGUCAAUUUUGCUCCAAUAUUGAUAAGGUUGGUUUUGUUACAAUGCUGAGAUGUAUGGCUUUUCAGGAAAUAACACGGUUCUGGAGAAAAAUUAAUAUUUAAAAAUAGCUGCCAGUCGAUAUUUAAGGAUAUGGGUUUACUGUUCCAUGUAAUUAAAUUA